AUCUGUGAGAGAUAGUAGAGUGCCUUCGGGANCUCUGAGACAGGUGCUGCAUGGCUGUCGUCAGCUCGUGUCGUGAGAUGUUGGGUUAAGUCCCGUAACGAGCGCAACCCUUAUCCUUAGUUGCCAGCGGGUCAAGCUGGGAACUCGAGGGAGACUGCCGGUGAUAAACCGGAGGAAGGUGGGGAGGACGUCAAGUCUUCAUGGCCCUUAUGGGUAGGGCUACACACGUGCUACAAUGGUCGGUACAGAGGGCAGCGAAUCCGCGAGAGUGAGCAAAUCCCAAAAAACCAUUCCUAGUCCGGAUGGCAGUCUGCAAUUCGCCUGCU
Molecule: ribosomal RNA, 326 nt
Filed under: uncultured bacterium
Lineage: Bacteria
Description: bacterial SSU rRNA
Rfam family: Bacterial small subunit ribosomal RNA
Source: RNAcentral